This 86-nucleotide transfer RNA is filed under the name Candidatus Staskawiczbacteria bacterium RIFOXYC2_FULL_37_19. RNAcentral describes it as "tRNA-Leu". It matches the Rfam family "tRNA". Rfam says of the family: Transfer RNA (tRNA) molecules are approximately 80 nucleotides in length. Their secondary structure includes four short double-helical elements and three loops (D, anti-codon, and T loops). Further hydrogen bonds mediate the characteristic L-shaped molecular structure. tRNAs have two regions of fundamental functional importance: the anti-codon, which is responsible for specific mRNA codon recognition, and the 3' end, to which the tRNAs corresponding amino acid is attached (by aminoacyl-tRNA synthetases). tRNAs cope with the degeneracy of the genetic code in two manners: having more than one tRNA (with a specific anti-codon) for a particular amino acid; and 'wobble' base-pairing, i.e. permitting non-standard base-pairing at the 3rd anti-codon position. Lineage: Bacteria; Candidatus Staskawicziibacteriota. RNAcentral also lists the same sequence under 1 other name. The record is from RNAcentral.
GCCGAGGUGGCGAAAUAGCAAACGCACAGGACUUAAAAUCCUGCGGGUGAAAACCCUUGAGGGUGCAAGUCCCUCCCCCGGCACAA